GGGUUGUGAGGUUAAGCGACUAAGCGUACACGGUGGAUGCCCUGGCAGUCAGAGGCGAUGAAGGACGUGCUAAUCUGCGAUAAGCGCCGGUAAGGUGAUAUGAACCGUUAUAACCGGCGAUUUCCGAAUGGGGAAACCCAGUGUGAUUCGUCACACUAUCAUUAACUGAAUCCAUAGGUUAAUGAGGCGAACCGGGGGAACUGAAACAUCUAAGUACCCCGAGGAAAAGAAAUCAACCGAGAUUCCCCCAGUAGCGGCGAGCGAACGGGGAGGAGCCCAGAGCCUGAAUCAGCAUGUGUGUUAGUGGAAGCGUCUGGAAAGGCGCGCGAUACAGGGUGACAGCCCCGUACACAAAAGCGCAUGUGCUGUGAGCUCGAUGAGUAGGGCGGGACACGUGGUAUCCUGUCUGAAUAUGGGGGGACCAUCCUCCAAGGCUAAAUACUCCUGACUGACCGAUAGUGAACCAGUACCGUGAGGGAAAGGCGAAAAGAACCCCGGCGAGGGGAGUGAAAAAGAACCUGAAACCGUGUAC
RNAcentral lists this ribosomal RNA (532 nucleotides) under Salmonella enterica subsp. enterica serovar Virchow. RNAcentral describes it as "partial 23S ribosomal RNA". It matches the Rfam family "Bacterial large subunit ribosomal RNA", at positions 1 to 563 of the family's 2925-position model. Lineage: Bacteria; Pseudomonadati; Pseudomonadota; Gammaproteobacteria; Enterobacterales; Enterobacteriaceae. The record is from RNAcentral.